This 443-nucleotide ribosomal RNA is filed under the name uncultured bacterium. Its description in RNAcentral is "partial 16S ribosomal RNA". It matches the Rfam family "Bacterial small subunit ribosomal RNA", at positions 338 to 795 of the family's 1533-position model. The record is from RNAcentral.
CCUACGGGUGGCAGCAGUGGGGAAUAUUGGUCAAUGGAGGAAACUCUGACCCAGCAACGCCGCGUGAAUGAUGAAGGUCUUCGGAUUGUAAAGUUCUUUUCUAAGGGAAGAAGAAAGUGACGGUACCUUAGGAAUAAGCCUCGGCUAACUACGUGCCAGCAGCCGCGGUAAUACGGAAGGUCCGGGCGUUAUCCGGAUUUAUUGGGUUUAAAGGGAGCGUAGGCCGGUCUUUAAGCGUGCCGUGAAAUUUUGUGGCUCAACCAUGAGAGUGCGGCGCGAACUGGAGACCUUGAGUGCGCGGAAGGCAGGCGGAAUUCGUGGUGUAGCGGUGAAAUGCUUAGAUAUCACGAAGAACCCCGAUUGCGAAGGCAGCCUGCCGCAGCGUUACUGACGCUGAAGCUCGAAAGCGCGGGUAUCGAACAGGAUUAGAUACCCGUGUAGUC